RNAcentral lists this ribosomal RNA (253 nucleotides) under uncultured bacterium. Its description in RNAcentral is "partial 16S ribosomal RNA". It matches the Rfam family "Bacterial small subunit ribosomal RNA", at positions 524 to 776 of the family's 1533-position model. The record is from RNAcentral.
UACGGAGGGAGCUAGCGUUGUUCGGAAUUACUGGGCGUAAAGCGCACGUAGGCGGCUUUGUAAGUUAGAGGUGAAAGCCCGGGGCUCAACUCCGGAACUGCCUUUAAGACUGCAUCGCUUGAAUCCAGGAGAGGUGAGUGGAAUUCCGAGUGUAGAGGUGAAAUUCGUAGAUAUUCGGAAGAACACUAGUGGCGAAGGCGGCUCACUGGACUGGUAUUGACGCUGAGGUGCGAAAGCGUGGGGAGCAAACAGG